GGAGGAAUGGCAGAGCGGUUGAAUGCACCGGUCUUGAAAACCGGCGAGGGUGCGAGCCCUCCCUGAGUUCGAAUCUCAGUUCCUCCG
Actinobacillus succinogenes 130Z is the source of this 87-nucleotide transfer RNA. It matches the Rfam family "tRNA". Rfam says of the family: Transfer RNA (tRNA) molecules are approximately 80 nucleotides in length. Their secondary structure includes four short double-helical elements and three loops (D, anti-codon, and T loops). Further hydrogen bonds mediate the characteristic L-shaped molecular structure. tRNAs have two regions of fundamental functional importance: the anti-codon, which is responsible for specific mRNA codon recognition, and the 3' end, to which the tRNAs corresponding amino acid is attached (by aminoacyl-tRNA synthetases). tRNAs cope with the degeneracy of the genetic code in two manners: having more than one tRNA (with a specific anti-codon) for a particular amino acid; and 'wobble' base-pairing, i.e. permitting non-standard base-pairing at the 3rd anti-codon position. The record is from Rfam. Lineage: Bacteria; Pseudomonadati; Pseudomonadota; Gammaproteobacteria; Pasteurellales; Pasteurellaceae.